This 1338-nucleotide ribosomal RNA is filed under the name uncultured bacterium. Its description in RNAcentral is "bacterial SSU rRNA". It matches the Rfam family "Bacterial small subunit ribosomal RNA", at positions 28 to 1381 of the family's 1533-position model. The record is from RNAcentral.
GACGAACGCUGGCGGCGUGCUUAACACAUGCAAGUCGAACGGUAAGGCUCCAGCUUGCUGGGGUACACGAGUGGCGAACGGGUGAGUAACACGUGGGUGACCUGCCCUGCACUUCGGGAUAAGCCUGGGAAACUGGGUCUAAUACCGGAUAGGACCGCACCGUGAGGGUGUGGUGGAAAGUUUUUUCGGUGUGGGAUGGGCCCGCGGCCUAUCAGCUUGUUGGUGGGGUAAUGGCCUACCAAGGCGGCGACGGGUAGCCGGCCUGAGAGGGUGGACGGCCACAUUGGGACUGAGACACGGCCCAGACUCCUACGGGAGGCAGCAGUGGGGAAUAUUGCACAAUGGGCGGAAGCCUGAUGCAGCGACGCCGCGUGGGGGAUGACGGCCUUCGGGUUGUAAACUCCUUUCACCAUCGACGAAGGGUUUCUGACGGUAGAUGGAGAAGAAGCACCGGCUAACUACGUGCCAGCAGCCGCGGUAAUACGUAGGGUGCGAGCGUUGUCCGGAAUUACUGGGCGUAAAGAGCUCGUAGGUGGUUUGUCGCGUCGUCUGUGAAAUUCCGGGGCUUAACUCCGGGCGUGCAGGCGAUACGGGCAUAACUUGAGUACUGUAGGGGAGACUGGAAUUCCUGGUGUAGCGGUGAAAUGCGCAGAUAUCAGGAGGAACACCGGUGGCGAAGGCGGGUCUCUGGGCAGUAACUGACGCUGAGGAGCGAAAGCAUGGGGAGCGAACAGGAUUAGAUACCCUGGUAGUCCAUGCCGUAAACGGUGGGCGCUAGGUGUCGGGGGUCAAACCUCGGUGCCGUCGUUAACACACUAAGCACUCCGCCUGGGGAGUACGUGCGCAAGCAUGAAACUCAAAGGAAUUGACGGGGACCCGCACAAGUAGCGGAGCAUGUGGUUUAAUUCGAAGCAACGCGAAGAACCUUACCAGGACUUGAAAUACUAGCGCCCACUUUAGAGAUAAAGUUUUUUCUUCGGAAACGCUAAUACAGGUGGUGCAUGGUUGUCGUCAGCUCGUGUCGUGAGAUGUUGGGUUAAGUCCCGCAACGAGCGCAACCCUUACUUCUAGUUGCCAGCACGUAAUGGUGGGAACUCUAGAGGGACUGCCGAUGAUAAAUCGGAGGAAGGUGGGGAUGACGUCAAAUCAUCAUGCCCUUUAUGUCCUGGGCUACACACGUGCUACAAUGGUCGGUACAGAGGGCAGCGAAAGAGCGAUCUCAAGCGAAUCUCAAAAAACCGAUCCCAGUUCGGAUUGCAGGCUGCAACUCGCCUGCAUGAAGUCGGAGUUGCUAGUAAUCGCAGAUCAGAAUGCUGCGGUGAAUGCGUUCCCGGGUCU